GGCCCGGUAGCGCAGCCUGGUUUAGCGCACCUGACCACGAUGGGUGAACCUUUUAAACCAGGUAGAAAGCAGGUGGUCGCGGGUUCAAAUCCCGUCCGGGCCA
Molecule: transfer RNA, 103 nt
Filed under: Candidatus Woesearchaeota archaeon
Lineage: Archaea; Nanobdellati; Candidatus Woesearchaeota
Description: tRNA-OTHER
Rfam family: tRNA
About the family: Transfer RNA (tRNA) molecules are approximately 80 nucleotides in length. Their secondary structure includes four short double-helical elements and three loops (D, anti-codon, and T loops). Further hydrogen bonds mediate the characteristic L-shaped molecular structure. tRNAs have two regions of fundamental functional importance: the anti-codon, which is responsible for specific mRNA codon recognition, and the 3' end, to which the tRNAs corresponding amino acid is attached (by aminoacyl-tRNA synthetases). tRNAs cope with the degeneracy of the genetic code in two manners: having more than one tRNA (with a specific anti-codon) for a particular amino acid; and 'wobble' base-pairing, i.e. permitting non-standard base-pairing at the 3rd anti-codon position.
Source: RNAcentral